CGCAACGACCGUACCGCAAACCGACACUGGUGCGCGAGAUGAGUAUUCUAAGGCGCUUGAGAGAACUCAGGAGAAGGAACUCGGCAAAUUGACACCGUAACUUCGGAAGAAGGUGUGCCCUAUUAGUGUGAAGUGAACAACGGAGCAUGAAUGGGUUGCAAAAAAUCGGUGGCUGCGACUGUUUAUUAAAAACACAGCACUCUGCAAACACGAAAGUGGACGUAUAGGGUGUGACGCCUGCCCGGUGCUGGAAGAUUAAAUGAUGGGGUGCAAGCUCUUGAUUGAAGUCCCAGUAAACGGCGGCCGUAACUAUAACGGUCCUAAGGUAGCGAAAUUCCUUGUCGGGUAAGUUCCGACCUGCACGAAUGGCGUAACGAUGGCCACACUGUCUCCUCCUGAGACUCAGCGAAGUUGAAAUGUUUGUGAUGAUGCAAUCUCCCCGCGGAAAGACGGAAAGACCCCAUGAACCUUUACUGUAGCUUUGUAUUGGACUUUGAACAGAUCUGUGUAGGAUAGGUGGGAGGCUUUGAAGCAGGGUCGCUAGAUCUUGUGGAGCCAACGUUGAAAUACCACCCUGGUGUGUUUGAGGUUCUAACCUAGGUCCAUUAUCUGGAUCGGGGACAGUGCAUGGUAGGCAGUUUGACUGGGGCGGUCUCCUCCCAAAGCGUAACGGAGGAGUUCGAAGGUACGCUAGUUACGGUCGGACAUCGUGACGAUAGUGCAAUGGCAUAAGCGUGCUUAACUGCGAGACUGACAAGUCGAGCAGAUGCGAAAGCAGGACAUAGUGAUCCGGUGGUUCUGUAUGGAAGGGCCAUCGCUCAACGGAUAAAAGGUACUCUGGGGAUAACAGGCUGAUACCGCCCAAGAGUUCAUAUCGACGGCGGUGUUUGGCACCUCGAUGUCGGCUCAUCUCAUCCUGGGGCUGUAGCCGGUCCCAAGGGUAUGGCUGUUCGCCAUUUAAAGAGGUACGUGAGCUGGGUUUAAAACGUCGUGAGACAGUUUGGUCCCUAUCUUCCGUGGGCGCUGCAGAUUUGAGGAAGCCUGCUCCUAGUACGAGAGGACCGGAGUGGACACACCUCUGGUGUAUCGGUUGUCACGCCAGUGGCAUUGCCGAGUAGCUAAGUGUGGAAGAGAUAACCGCUGAAAGCAUCUAAGCGGGAAACUCGUUUCAAGAUGAGAUCUGCCGGGGCCUUGAGCCCCCUGAAGAGUCGUUCAAGACCAGGACGUUGAUAGGUCAGGUGUGGAAGCGCAGUAAUGCGUUAAGCUAACUGAUACUAAUUGCUCGUGCGGCUUGACCAA
Molecule: ribosomal RNA, 1299 nt
Filed under: metagenome
Description: bacterial LSU rRNA
Rfam family: Bacterial large subunit ribosomal RNA
Source: RNAcentral